GUGCUCGCUUCGGCAGCACAUAUACUAAAAUUGGAACGAUACAGAGAUUAGCAUGGCCCUUGGGCAAGAAUAGUGAAAGGAAGCAAAAGAGUUCAAAUGUUUUC
Small nuclear RNA from Suncus etruscus (white-toothed pygmy shrew), 104 nucleotides. Lineage: Eukaryota; Metazoa; Chordata; Mammalia; Eulipotyphla; Soricidae. The record is from RefSeq and is a predicted model, not a curated record.